UGCGGCAGUGACGACACACUUGCCCUCACUGAGAACACUGUUCGGUUAUGACAGUCUUGCUGUG
Molecule: small nucleolar RNA, 64 nt
Organism: Alligator sinensis (Chinese alligator)
Lineage: Eukaryota; Metazoa; Chordata; Crocodylia; Alligatoridae
Product: small nucleolar RNA SNORD103/SNORD85
Exons: 1
Source: RefSeq, a predicted model, not a curated record